CCUACGGGAGGCAGCAGUGGGGAAUAUUGCGCAAUGGGCGAAAGCCUGACGCAGCGACGCCGCGUGAGGGAUGAAGGUCUUCGGAUCGUAAACCUCUGUCAGCAGGGAAGAACGGUCACUGUGCUAAUCAGCAGUGAAUUGACGGUACCUGCAAAGGAAGCACCGGCUAACUCCGUGCCAGCAGCCGCGGUAAUACGGAGGGUGCGAGCGUUAAUCGGAAUUACUGGGCGUAAAGCGCUCGUAGGCGGUAUGUCAAGUCAAGGGUGAAAUCCCCGCGCUCAACGUGGGAACUGCCUUUGAAACUAGCAAACUGGAGUGUGUGAGAGGAUAGUGGAAUGCCAGGUGUAGGAGUGAAAGCCGUAGAUAUCUGGAGGAACAUCAGUGGCGAAGGCGACUAUCUGGCACAUAACUGACGCUGAGGAGCGAAAGCGUGGGUAGCAAACAGGAUUAGAUACCCCAGUAGUC
RNAcentral lists this ribosomal RNA (465 nucleotides) under uncultured bacterium. RNAcentral describes it as "partial 16S ribosomal RNA". It matches the Rfam family "Bacterial small subunit ribosomal RNA", at positions 338 to 795 of the family's 1533-position model. The record is from RNAcentral.